AAACACAAACGGAUUUAUCAGAUUUAAACGCUAAGAACACAGAUCAGAUCAAACUCGACAGAAUAUGAACAGAUCCAAACGAAAAUCAGAGAGAAAAAUCGAACACUUCCCUUCCAGAGUUGCUCUGAUACCACUUAAUGAGAUCCUAGGAUGAUGCUCUGGAACAGAUGGGAUAAUCCUUGCAGAAACGAAUCAAAAGACUCAAGCUUCUCAAGGUAUGUGGAUCGAAUGGUGACACAAGAGGCUGCGGAAAGGCUUCUUGAUACUCCUAGGCUUAGAUCGGAUAUGACACACCUCUCUAAAGCCCUUGGGCGUUGGAUAUUACACACCAACAGACUGGAUAUUACACACCAGACACUCACUCACGACAAGAGAGAAAAGAACCAAAAGGUUUUGAU
Molecule: long non-coding RNA, 398 nt
Filed under: Brassica rapa (field mustard)
Lineage: Eukaryota; Viridiplantae; Streptophyta; Magnoliopsida; Brassicales; Brassicaceae
Description: long non-coding RNA (BRAP_LNC008145)
Source: RNAcentral